This 210-nucleotide ribosomal RNA is filed under the name uncultured bacterium. RNAcentral's name for it is "partial 16S ribosomal RNA". It matches the Rfam family "Bacterial small subunit ribosomal RNA", at positions 125 to 334 of the family's 1533-position model. The record is from RNAcentral.
CCUGCCUCGAAGUGGGGGACAACAGCCCGAAAGGGCUGCUAAUACCGCAUACGAAUCUUUUUUCGCAUGAUUUUAGAUUCAAAGCUUUAUGCGCUUCGAGAUGGGCUUGCGGCCUAUCAGCUUGUUGGCGAGGUAAUGGCUCACCAAGGCGAUGACGGGUAGCUGGUCUGAGAGGAUGAUCAGCCACACUGGGACUGAGACACGGCCCAG